GUGUCAGCCGCCGCGGUAAUACGAACUGUGCAAACGUUAUUCGGAAUCACUGGGCUUAAAGGGUGCGUAGGCGGCUUGUUAAGUAGGGUGUGAAAUCCCCCGGCUCAACCGGGGAAUUGCGCCCUAAACUGGCGAGCUGGAGUGAGAUAGGGGUGUGUGGAACUUCCAGUGGAGCGGUGAAAUGUGUUGAUAUUGGAAGGAACGCCAGUGGCGAAAGCGACACACUGGGUCUCAACUGACGCUGAGGCACGAAAGCCAGGGGAGCAAACGGGAUUAGAAACCCUAGUAGUCC
This 292-nucleotide ribosomal RNA is filed under the name uncultured bacterium. RNAcentral describes it as "partial 16S ribosomal RNA". It matches the Rfam family "Bacterial small subunit ribosomal RNA", at positions 505 to 796 of the family's 1533-position model. The record is from RNAcentral.